CCCUUAGAUGUUCUGGGCCGCACGCGCGCUACACUGAUGCAUUCAACGAGCCUAGCCUUGACCGAGAGGUCCGGGUAAUCUUUGAAACUGCAUCGUGAUGGGGCUAGAUUAUUGCAAUUAUUAAUCUUCAACGAGGAAUGCCUAGUAAGCGUGAUUCAUCAAAUCGCGUUGAUUACGUCCCUGCCCUUUGUACACACCGCCCGUCGCUCCUACCGAUUGAGUGUGUUGGUGAGGAGUUCGGAUUGGCUCUUAGUGGUGGUUCGCCACCACCUAGAGCUGAGAAGUUCUCCAAACCGCCCCACUUAGAGGAGGGAGAAGUCGUAACA
Molecule: ribosomal RNA, 326 nt
Filed under: uncultured eukaryote
Lineage: Eukaryota
Description: partial 18S ribosomal RNA
Rfam family: Eukaryotic small subunit ribosomal RNA
Source: RNAcentral